UACGGAGGGUGCAAGCGUUGUCCGGAAUCACUGGGCGUAAAGGGCGCGUAGGCGGCUCAUGAAGGCUGUGGUGAAAGUCCGGGGCUCAACCUCGGAUCGGCCGUGGCGACUCGUGGGCUGGAGCACUGUAGAGGCGGGUGGAAUUCCGGGUGUAGCGGUGGAAUGCGUAGAGAUCCGGAAGAACACCAGUGGCGAAGGCGGCCCGCUGGGCAGUGGCUGACGCUGAGGCGCGACAGCGUGGGAGCAACAGG
Molecule: ribosomal RNA, 251 nt
Filed under: uncultured bacterium
Lineage: Bacteria
Description: partial 16S ribosomal RNA
Rfam family: Bacterial small subunit ribosomal RNA
Source: RNAcentral